Long non-coding RNA from Scylla paramamosain (green mud crab), 2150 nucleotides. RefSeq lists it as uncharacterized. The transcript is spliced from 3 exons. Lineage: Eukaryota; Metazoa; Arthropoda; Malacostraca; Decapoda; Portunidae. The record is from RefSeq and is a predicted model, not a curated record.
AGAACACGGAUUUUCACAACAGGAGGAGAACAUCACAGAAAUAAACACGACGAGGCGUGAUCCGAAGCUGUGUUGGUGCUCCGAUCAUAAGAGUGAGACGGUCGCGGCGCUCAGUCAGUCCUGCCACCAGUCACCGCUCAGCCUCGGAUGGCAAGGGGCACACGCUUACCUUUCCGACCCGGGUAUCCCCCUUAUCUUUCAUUAGUGAUGAUUCUGUGACGCCUCUGGACGGCUGUGUGUCCCUGGCAUUCCUGCAACACACAUACAGACACCUUCAUUGACCACAGGAUUGACCGGACUCAGUUAAAUUGUACCGUGUGCGGCGUUGCGGUUCAUUACACCUGUCACAACGAGCGGCGCCAUCAGGCCACCACACACACACACACACACACAGAGAGCAGCAGCAGCACCAGGAUCGGGUGAGCGGAGCCAGACCUUCCCAUCACCAGCAGGUCAAAUGAAGGAAAGAGUUUUAAGUGCAGAAAAGUGAAAAUGUUUCAGAUAAAGUGAAGGAACACAAGUGAAAUGUCCGGAAAGUGUAAUCUGACAAAGAAAGGGCAGGAAGAAAGAAUGAAGAGGGCAAGGCGCAGCGGUACAGAAGGCAGGGACCAAGGAAGGAUUCGAAUCAAGUUUCCAACAAGAACGAGGAGGAGGAGGAGAAAGGAAACCGGAACAAGGAGACAUGAAAGUUGGCAGUGCGUGUGGCUGUGGUGAGCGGCGGCGGCGGCGGCGGCGGCGGCGGCGACGGCGGUGGCGGCGACGACGACGACGACGACGACGACGUGUGGCGUGGCGAGCGGGUUUCUGCAGUAUCCCUCUCCUUCCCGUUUUCUGUUAUUCCCCGUUCUCUUCCUCCGCCUAGUGUACUGCUACUCGCUCUUGUACGGUGACUUUUUUUUUUUUCCUUCGUUACAAUAUUUUGUCUGUUUUCUCUUUUCUUUUCUUCUCGUGCUUUUUAUUCACAUUAUUAUUUCUUAUUCUAUUUUGUUUAUUUUGUGUGUUUGUACGUGUGUAUUUUCCUCUUCCACAUUUUAUUUGGAUUUUCUUAAUUUUUCUCGUAUUUUUCUAUUCUCCUAUUCUUCCUUGUAUCACACACACACACACACACACACACCGCGUAGUGUAGUGGUUGUUAGCACGCUCGGCUCACAACCAAGAAGGCCUGGGUUCGAAUCCCGGGAGCGACGAGGCAAAUGGGUGAGCCUCUUAAUGUGUAGCCCCUGUUCACCUAGUAGCAAGUAGGUAAGGGAUGUAACCCGAGGGGUUGUGACCUCGCUGUUUCGGUGUGUGGUCACACACACACACACACACACACACACUUCAUCGUCUCUUACUACCGAUGCCGUUGCUAUGACAAGUAUUUUAUAUUAAAUGAAUUUAUUAUUUAUUAAUUUAUUCGCUUAUUAUUAUUAUUAUUAUUAUUAUUAUUAAAUAAUUUGCAUAUUUAUUUAUCUACAUAUAUUAUUUAUCUACAUAUAUUAUUUUUAUUUUAUUAUUAUUAUUAUUAUUUAUUUUAUUUAUUUAUUUUUAUUUUUGUGUGUGUGUCGGGGAUGAGUUUUACAGCUCUCAUCGCAAGUUGUAUUUAAUAGCCACAUUUGCUCGCUCGUGUAUAUAUUGUUUAGUGUUAUCAGCGGUUCUUAAGAAACAGGAUUUUAAGAGAUUAUAAACUUUACGUGAUAUUAAGUUUUGUUUCGUUAACACUUGAUGCGCUUCAUCCUUCUCUCGCUCCUUGUUCGUGUUUCAUUCUCUUUCCUCGUGUAAACUGCUGUCCUCAUUCGUUUGUUCCCUUCUUUUAUGCACUUCAACCAUCCAGCCACAAUUUCUCGGUUGCCUCUGCACUUGUGUUGUUGUCUUUUCAUCUUGUAUUCUAAGGCAAUGGAACAGUCCGUUGAUUUCUGUUGCUAUUUUUAAAUUCUUGCACUAUAUACAUUUUUCAUAGAUUUUCCUCACCACACGCCACCACCGUCCCUGUUGAUGCUGCCGUCAACUUUAUUGGUGAGCCUUGCGUCCCAAACCUUUUUUUUUCCCUCUCUCCUGUAUUCCUCACCGCUCGUUUAGGCUGUCAUCUUUCCCUUCCCCUUUCUCUUUCUUUUCACCACUUUCACCUCUCUCUCUCUCUCUCUCUCUCUCUCUCUCUCUCUCUCUCUCUC